AGCAACUCCUGGGAGAAGCAGCUUCUCUCCUCGAUUUUGCUUGAAACCAAAACCUACGAAGAUGAUAUAAGAUUAACCGAUCUAAUCAUGGCAAUACGGUGUCUGCAUCUCUUCUUCUUCCUCUACUCUGUUAUAAUCAAACACACAAAAGGAGUUUUCAACUUUGGAUCAAAUAGGGAAGGACAAAUAGAACAACCUUGAGGAAUCAAUUAAGGUAAGUACAUACCAAGAUGCUACCGUGAAUCAGGAACUAAAUAAAUCCUUUUAAUGAUUUUAUUUUUAACCCAUUUUAAUAAUUUUGUGAUUUUGUUUGCGUAAGGCACAAACCUAAUUUAGGAGUACUAUGCUGGUGUUUCUAGAUUAAUUAAUACGUUUCUUCUUUUCUUUUGAACUGUAAUAAAUUUUAGGAGCACUGUUGGUGUUUCCGGAUUAAUAUGUUUCUUCUUUGCAUUGUAAUGAAUGAUUACAGCUUAAAAGUUGGUGAUUCAAUUCAAUUAGACAUUUUCCACAAUUGAUAAAUUCAUCAUGAUUGCAGUUGUACAGCUAGAAGAGAAUUUUCAUUCCACAUGAUUUAAAUUAAAGCAUUACUUAGCAUUUUAAUCCAUUGUGAUAAAGAUGUAAGCAUGUGCCUGAAUUUUGUUUUCACGGAGUUCGGUUUGGAAUUUGGGAUUCUUAAAUUCAUCAAAGCUACGUACUUGAGUGUUGUCGCACUGAUGGAUAUGCAGGUUGGGCAGUAUUUGAAGAGUGGACUUGAUAUAUGUAUGAGGUAGUACGGAGACACUUUGUUCUUGUAAUAUGGAUUUGACGACAUGGUUAUUCAUGGCAGCGGCUUGAGUGAUCCUUGAAGACAUGAAUGUGUCAUAGCGUAUCUGAAAGAAGAUGUCAUAAUGGACUCUUACCAAAGUGAAACUAGGCCUACCUUUGCAUUUUUCAUAAACUUUCGCAGCAAUUACGAAAACUUGAAGACAAACAAAAUGACUUAUGGCCUGCAUAUAUACUUAAAAGUUGUUUUACAUUUCUCUGGCUUAUGUUAUUCUAAUAAUAUCAUUAAUAACACUUAUUUCAACUCCUGAUAUAACUCUUUGCCAAACUUGCUUUUCAGCUUUUUAACUUUUAAG
Papaver somniferum (opium poppy) is the source of this 1118-nucleotide long non-coding RNA. RefSeq lists it as uncharacterized. Lineage: Eukaryota; Viridiplantae; Streptophyta; Magnoliopsida; Ranunculales; Papaveraceae. The record is from RefSeq and is a predicted model, not a curated record. The transcript has 3 exons.